AGAGUUUGAUUCUGGCUCAGAACGAACGCUGGCGGCGUGGAUAAGACAUGCAAGUCGAACGGGGUUUAUAGCAAUAUAGAUUCAGUGGCGGACGGGUGCGUAACACGUGAACAAUCUGCCCGAAAGAGAGGGAUAGCCCAUGGAAACGUGGAUUAAUACCUUAUGUGAUUGUUGGGGGGCAUCCUCUGACAAUGAAACGCGCUUUACGGUGCGGCUUUCGGAUGAGUUCGCGGCCUAUCAGCUAGUUGGCGGGGUAAUGGCCCACCAAGGCUACGACGGGUAGCUGGUCUGAGAGGAUGACCAGCCACACUGGAACUGAGACACGGUCCAGACACCUACGGGUGGCAGCAGUCGAGAAUCAUUCACAAUGGGCGAAAGCCUGAUGGUGUGACGCCGCGUGGAGGAUGACGGUCUUCGGAUUGUAAACUCCUGUCAAGUGAGAGUAAGGCUUGGUGUUAACUGCAUCCAAGUUUGAGAGUAUCACUAGAGGAAGAGACGGCUAACUCUGUGCCAGCAGCCGCGGUAAUACAGAGGUCUCAAGCGUUGUUCGGAAUCACUGGGCGUAAAGGGUGCGUAGGCUGUGUUGUAAGUCAGAGGUGAAAUCCCGGGGCUCAACCCCGGAACUGCCUCCGAUACUGCAAGACUUGAGGACUGGAGAGGAGAUUGGAAUUCAUGUGGAGCAGUGAAAUGCGUAGAUAUCAUGAGGAACGCUAGUGGCGUAGGCGAAUCUCUGGACAGUUCCUGACGCUGAGGCACGAAGGCUAGGGGAGCAAACGGGAUUAGAUACCCCGGUAGUCCUAGCAGUAAACGGUGCACGCUUGGUGUGGGAGGAAUCGACCCCUUCCGUGCCGGAGCUAACGCGUUAAGCGUGCCGCCUGGGAAGUACGGUCGCAAGACUAAAACUCAAAGAAAUUGACGGGGACCCGCACAAGCGGUGGAGUAUGUGGCUUAAUUCGAUGCAACGCGAAGAACCUUACCUGGGCUUGACAUGCAUCUCUAAGCGCGUGAAAGCGCGUGACUGGAGCAAUCCAGAAUUUGCACAGGUGCUGCAUGGCUGUCGUCAGCUCGUGUCGUGAGAUGUUGGGUUAAGUCCCGCAACGAGCGCAACCCCUGUGUCCUUUUGCCAGCGAGUAAUGUCGGGAACUAUGGACAGACUGCCUAGUUCAACUAGGAGGAAGGUGGGGAUGACGUCAAGUCCGUAUGGCCCUUACGCCCAGGGCUGCACACGUACUACAAUGCCCGGUACAAUUUGAACCGAUACCGCGAGGUGGAGGAAAUCUAUAAAACCGGGCUCAGUUCAGAUUGGAGGCUGCAAUUCGCCUCCAUGAAGCUGGAAUCGCUAGUAACGGCGCAUCAGCUACGGCGCCGUGAAUACGUUCCCGGGUCUUGUACACACCGCCCGUCACAUCAUGGAAGCUGGUCUCGCUCGAAGUGUCCGCGCUAACCGUAAGGAAGCAGGGCCCUAAAGCAAGACUGGUGACUGGGAUGAAGUCGUAACAAGGUA
This 1504-nucleotide ribosomal RNA is filed under the name metagenome. Its description in RNAcentral is "bacterial SSU rRNA". It matches the Rfam family "Bacterial small subunit ribosomal RNA". The record is from RNAcentral.